GAUGAAGAACGCAGCGAAAUGCGAUAAGUAAUGUGAAUUGCAGAAUUCAGUGAAUCAUCGAAUCUUUGAACGCACCUUGCGCUCCUUGGUAUUCCGAGGAGCAUGCCUGUUUGAGUGUCAUGAAAUUCUCAACCUUUUCAGCUUUCUUUGUUGAUCAGGCUUGGAUGUGGGAGUAUGCGGGCUUCUCAGAAGUCGGCUCUCCUGAAAUGCAUUAGCGGGACCUUUGUUGCCUGGCUUUGGUGUGAUAAUUAUCUACGCCAUUGUAGUCAAGCAGCUUAAAAUGAGGUUUCAGCUUCUAACCGUCUCCCCUGAGACAACUUUUUGACAAUUUGACCUCAAAUCAGGUAGGACUACCCGCUGAACUUAAGCAUAUCAGUAAGCGGAGGA
This 387-nucleotide unclassified non-coding RNA is filed under the name soil metagenome. RNAcentral describes it as "partial contains 5.8S ribosomal RNA, internal transcribed spacer 2, and large subunit ribosomal RNA". The stretch from base 1 to 120 matches the Rfam family "5.8S ribosomal RNA", at positions 35 to 154 of the family's 154-position model. The record is from RNAcentral.